This 253-nucleotide ribosomal RNA is filed under the name uncultured bacterium. RNAcentral's name for it is "partial 16S ribosomal RNA". It matches the Rfam family "Bacterial small subunit ribosomal RNA", at positions 524 to 776 of the family's 1533-position model. The record is from RNAcentral.
UACGGAGGGUGCAAGCAUUGAUCGGAAUUACUGGGCGUAAAGGGCGCGUAGGCGGUUUGGAAAGUUAGAUGUGAAAUUCCGGGGCUCAACUCCGGAGCGGCAUUUAAAACUCCCAAACUAGAGUGCAGUUAGGGAAAACGGAAUUCCACGUGUAGCGGUGAAAUGCGUAGAUAUGUGGAAGAACACCGGUGGUGAAGACGGUUUUCUGGGCUGUAACUGACGCUGAGGCGCGAAAGCAAGGGGAGCAAACAGG